UCCGGUUUAUCACCGGCAGUCUCCUUUGAGUUCCCACCAUUAUGUGCUGGCAACAAAGGAUAAGGGUUGCGCUCGUUGCGGGACUUAACCCAACAUUUCACAACACGAGCUGACGACAGCCAUGCAGCACCUGUCUCAGAGUUCCCGAAGGCACCAAGGCAUCUCUGCCAAGUUCUCUGGAUGUCAAGAGUAGGUAAGGUUCUUCGCGUUGCAUCGAAUUAAACCACAUGCUCCACCGCUUGUGCGGGCCCCCGUCAAUUCAUUUGAGUUUUAACCUUGCGGCCGUACUCCCCAGGCGGUCGACUUAACGCGUUAGCUCCGGAAGCCACAGUUCAAGACCGCAACCUCCAAGUCGACAUCGUUUACAGCGUGGACUAC
This 378-nucleotide unclassified non-coding RNA is filed under the name uncultured Enterobacteriaceae bacterium. RNAcentral describes it as "contains 16S-23S intergenic spacer region". Lineage: Bacteria; Pseudomonadati; Pseudomonadota; Gammaproteobacteria; Enterobacterales; Enterobacteriaceae. The record is from RNAcentral.